UGGUGGAUUGAUUUGUCCGGUUAAUUCCGUUAACGAACGAGACCUUACCUUACUAAAUAGUCGCAUGUAAUGCUUCUUAUGUGGGUGACUUCUUAGAAGGACAUGGUGUGUUUAACACAAGGAAGUUUGAGGCAAUAACA
This 140-nucleotide ribosomal RNA is filed under the name uncultured eukaryote. RNAcentral's name for it is "partial 18S ribosomal RNA". It matches the Rfam family "Eukaryotic small subunit ribosomal RNA", at positions 1299 to 1458 of the family's 1831-position model. The record is from RNAcentral.